GCCGGCGGCUGGGCUGCCCGGUGUCGGGCCGCUGCCGCCGGCUGGGCCACCGACCGGCCAGUGGCAGGCUCCGCCGCCCGCCGCCGGUA
RNAcentral lists this transfer RNA (89 nucleotides) under Actinoplanes derwentensis. Its description in RNAcentral is "tRNA-Gly". The record is from RNAcentral. Lineage: Bacteria; Bacillati; Actinomycetota; Actinomycetes; Micromonosporales; Micromonosporaceae.